RNAcentral lists this long non-coding RNA (3869 nucleotides) under Salmo salar (Atlantic salmon). RNAcentral describes it as "lncRNA (ENSSSAG00000073537.2)". Lineage: Eukaryota; Metazoa; Chordata; Actinopteri; Salmoniformes; Salmonidae. The record is from RNAcentral.
GAGAAAUCGGAGUUCAGCGAUUAUUUCCCAUUUGUAAUUACGAGUUGGCGGGCCGUUCAAUUGGAUUUCCCCCAGUCGUACACUGGUAAUUACGAAUGUACGAGUUGUUAUGAACGCAGCAUUAGACAAUGUCGUUUGACAGCUGGCCAGUGGAUCGCAUGCGCCAAAAGACGCUGCUGAAUGAAUAGGAGGGAAAUCACCAACGACCCAAUAACCUCGGGCGCCUUGCAUGUCAUCUGCUCAAAUUAUGACCAUCUCGCCGCCUCUGCUUUCUCUAACAAAGAUAUCUGUUUCCUGGACCUUGAAUGGCGCUGGUCACCGUUCAGCGUUCGCCAACACCCAGCGUUAGCUCCAGUCCCUGCCUUUCGGAGGCAGACAGUGGUGAGGAUGAUCGUCGCUCCCAGCCCCGGAGCAUCAGCGAGAGCUUCCUGACGGUGAAGGGCGCCGCUGUCUUCCUGCCUCGGGGAAAUGGCUCCUCCCCUUCCUCGGCGCCCCGCAUCAGCCAGCGGCGGAACAAACACACAGGUGACCUCCAGCAGCACCUGCAGACCAUGUUCACUGUGCUGCGGCCAGAAGACAGCAUCCGCCUGGCUGUGCGCCUGGAGAGUGCGUACGCUCAGCCUCAGUGCACGCGUUACAUGGUGGUGGUGUCCACCAAUGGGAGACAGGACACUGAGGAGAGCGUGGUGCUGGGCCUGGACUUUGGCUCUUCAGACAGCUCAUGCACAAUGGGGCUGGUUCUACCUCUGUGGAGCGACACACUGAUCCACUUGGACGGAGAUGGGGGCUUCAGUGUGUCCACGGUCAACAGGGUCCAUGUCUUCAAACCGGUCUCUGUCCAGGCCAUGUGGUCUGCCCUGCAGUCGCUCCACAAGGCGUGUGAGGUGGCCCGCUGUCACAACUACUACCCCAGCAGUCUGUUCCUGACCUGGGUCAGCUACUACCAGAGCCAAGUCUCCUCCGACCAGGUCUGCAUCAACGAGUGGAACGCCAUGCAGGACGUCCAGUCCCACCGCGCCGACUCGCCCGUCCUCUUCACUGACGUGCCCACAGAGAGGGAGCGCACGGAGAGGUUGAUCAAGACUCGCCUCAGAGAGAUCAUGAUGCAGAAAGACCUGGAGAAUGUCACCUCUAAAGAGAUUCGCACAGAGCUGGAGAUGCAGAUGGUGUGCAACCUUCGGGAGUUCAAGGAGUUUAUUGACAACGAGAUGAUCGUCAUCCUGGGUCAGAUGGACAGCCCCACAGAGAUCUUUGACCAUGUUUACCUGGGCUCUGAGUGGAAUGCUUCCAACUUGGAGGAGCUGCAGACCAGCGGUGUGAGGUACAUCCUCAACGUGACGCGGGAGAUCGACAACUUCUUCCCAGGCAUGUUUGAGUACCACAACAUCCGCGUGUACGACGAGGAGGCCACCAACCUGCUGGAGUACUGGAACGACACCUACAAGUUCAUCACCAAGGCCAGGAAAGCAGGGGCUAAGUGCCUAGUCCACUGUAAGAUGGGUGUGAGUCGCUCGGCCUCCACGGUGAUAGCUUACGCCAUGAAGGAGUACGGCUGGGACCUGGAGAGGGCCUUCGACUACGUCAAGGAGCGCCGCGGCGUCACCAAGCCCAACCCCUCCUUCAUGAAGCAGCUGGAGGAGUACCAGGGUAUCCUGCUGGCCAGUAAACAGAGGCACAACAAGUUGUGGCGCUCCCACUCGGACAGCGACCUCUCAGAGCGCCACGAGGCUCCGCUGUGUAAGACGGGCCCUCACAGCCACACCCUGGGCCUCUCGGAACCACACAACAACAAUGGCCCCACGCCCUCCCUGCAACACUUCCUGCUCCAGACCGAGGGCUCCCACAUCUCAGACACACAGUCAGAGCCCGUCCGACUCACCCGCUCACACUCCCACUCCCCUGGCCUGCCAGCCUCCAACGGUUUGUGUGACUCCCGGGAGAGCCUCUUUUCUCGAGGGCGAGGACCCCGCAAGGACUCCUUCCUCCCGCUGGCAGUCACGGUGGUGCCCGAGGAGAGAACGGACAACUCUAGGGGGGACAGUGUCAGUAUGAUGUCCCCAGGGACCCCCAUGGCCGUGAGCCCUCUCACUCCAACAGCGCCUCGGUCUUUAGGACCCUACGCCAACGAUGACAACAACAACCCCAGCGGGAGCGGUGACACAGACACUAUCCCCGCUAACCCUGUCGACGCCACAUGCAUCACCGCGUCCUCCAACCUCGGCACGGACAGCAUCGACUUCUUCAGCGCCCGUGAGAAAUUCCUGGGCCUGUCCCAAGACGGGAAGACCCGGACUCUUUCCGAGCAGAUGGCUCAGCGGACGCCUCAGUCACGGUGCCCCAGCCAGGAGCUGCAGCCGCUGUCCCCCGAGAACCCUGCUGGUGCACUGCCACCACUGCCAAGCACAGAGGAAGAGGAUCACGAAAAAGCCUCGUCGCCUCCCCAUCACGAGAACGGGGUGUCAGUCCGCCAUAUUGUCACGGAGAUAGAGUCCAUAUCCCACCCGCCGGCGGCGCCCCUCUCCUCCAGCCAGCCGGCCCCCCGCAGCCCCCAGCAGCUGCACCCAGACGACCGGGACGAGGAGACCCCAUUGACCUCGCCCUCCUCCUACCCACAAUCCCCCUCCACGCCUCUGUCGGAUUGGCCGACCGGCUCGGUGCGCAGGGCCACCAAACAGCUGGAGCAGAGGCUGAGGCAGGAGCUGGACUUAGCUCUCAGCAACACGUCUACCCAACGCUCCCCUCUCCACUCUCCCAGUGCAGAGUUCCACCCCACGGGCUCCCCUCUCCAUACGCCAAGCACGGACUGCCCACCCCUCCUCGCUCCUACCACAGACUGCCCCAAGCAGCGUAGGCCUACCCCUGAUCCUGAGCAAGGAAGAACUCUGAACGAGGCGUUCACUGUGUCGGCAGAGCCCAAAGGAGAGACGGAGCAGGGAGGGUUUGUCGUCUCAGACAUGGACGUUGCCCCAGCCCCUUCCUUCUCUCACUACCCAGAUGCCAGCCACACCCCUGAGCCCAUCCCAAUCAUCGCAUGUUCUUCUCUAGCGCCAUCUAGGGUCCAGCCCCAGACCCCCCCUGCACUGCUGUGGCUGGAGGGGGUGACGGCCCUUGACUCAGACACGGAUGGCCCCUCCCCUCCCCCGCCCCACGAUGGAAGGCUGGCCCUGGCACGCAGCAGUGAGGAGCUGGAGAAGAUCCAGGAGACUCUGAGGGAGCUGCAGGCCUUCCUGUACGAGGCGGGGGGCCUGGGGGCUGGAGAGAGACCUGGUCAGGGGCAGCAUCACAGGGAGACUCCCGUGUGGCAGAGGGCCAUGGAGAUCGAGGCGCGGAUCCGCCAAGCGGGCCUCACGCCCCCCUCCUUGAUGAAGCGCUCAGCCUCGCUGGCCAAGCUGGACUGCCUGGAGCUGUCAGCCAACGACCUGAGUGACUGGGACCUACGGCCCACCACCGCCAGCCCUCACGGACCCCCAUUGAUGCCCACCCCUCACCCCUGCUCCCACCAUCACCCCAGCCCAGACGAUGUCUCCAAGAAGCAGCGGGUGUUGUCCCGCAGCCCCCCCACCACCUACAGGGCCCCCCUAGGGGGGGUGUUCCCACUGGACUCAGACAGGACUGAUAGGGGCUCCCAGAGUGCAGGGAGUGAUCCUCCCUGUCUCUCCUCACCUCCAUGUCUUGUUCUUCAAGGGGAGGAGGAGCUAGAGACAGACCCCUCCCCCCGGCUCACCCGCACCCAGUCCCCGGCGAGCGCUCCCGACGUCACUAUGACAACCGCGCUGCAGCAACCCCGCGGGAAGAGUCACCCGCUGCGGCGGCUCCGCAAGGCUGCCGACAAGAAACGGACUGCCACUGUUCUCUACCACACCAUGUGA